CGGGAAGAGCUCAAAUUUAAAAUCUGGCAGUCUUUUUGGCUGUCCGAGUUGUAAUUUAGAGAAGUGUUGCCCGCGCUGGACCAUAUACAAGUCCUCUGGAAUGGGGUGUCAUAGAGGGUGAGAAUCC
This 127-nucleotide ribosomal RNA is filed under the name Tricholomataceae sp. Its description in RNAcentral is "partial large subunit ribosomal RNA". Lineage: Eukaryota; Fungi; Basidiomycota; Agaricomycetes; Agaricales; Tricholomataceae. The record is from RNAcentral.